AGAGUUUGAUCCUGGCUCAGAACGAACGCUGGCGGCGUGCCUAACACAUGCAAGUCNAGGGAGAAAAGGGGCUUCGGCCCCUGAGUAAACCGGUGCACGGGCUGAGUAACACNUNGGUAACGUANNCUUGAGUCUGGGAUAACCAGUCGAAAGAUUGGCUAAUACCAGAUACNACUGCGGAGACUCUGGUCUCUGCAAUGAAAGAUGGCCUCUGUUUACAAGCUAUCACUCAUGGAUCGGCCUGCGCACCAUUANCUAGUUGGUGAGGUAAUGGCUCACCNAGGCUGAGAUGGUUAGCUGGUCUGAGAGGAUGGCCAGCCACACUGGGANUGAGACACGGNCCAGACUCCUACGGGAGGNANCAGUGGGGAAUAUUGCNCAAUGGGCGAAAGCCUGACGCAGCGACGCCGCGUGGGUGAUGAAGGCCUUCGGGUCGUAAAGCCCUGUCGGGAGGGAAGAAACAACCGAGCCUAAUACGCUCGGGAAUUGACGGUACCUCCUAAGGAAGCACCGGCUAACUCCGUGCCAGCAGCCGCGGUAAUACGGAGGGUGCAAGCGUUGUUCGGAAUCACUGGGCGUAAAGGGCGUGUAGGCGGUCUGCUAAGUCUGGUGUGAAAUCCCCCCGCUCAACGGGGGAACGGCGCCGGAUACUGGCAGACUUGAGUACCGGAGAGGAAGGUGGAAUUCCNGGUGUAGCGGUGAAAUGC
RNAcentral lists this ribosomal RNA (707 nucleotides) under uncultured Rhizobium sp. RNAcentral's name for it is "bacterial SSU rRNA". It matches the Rfam family "Bacterial small subunit ribosomal RNA", at positions 8 to 689 of the family's 1533-position model. The record is from RNAcentral. Lineage: Bacteria; Pseudomonadati; Pseudomonadota; Alphaproteobacteria; Hyphomicrobiales; Rhizobiaceae.